UAGAUAUUAGUAAAACUAUUACAUAACUUUGUCAAAGUUAAAUUACUGGUUAAAACCCUGUAUAUCUUU
Molecule: transfer RNA, 69 nt
Filed under: Echimys chrysurus (White-faced spiny tree-rat)
Lineage: Eukaryota; Metazoa; Chordata; Mammalia; Rodentia; Echimyidae
Description: tRNA-Asp
Rfam family: tRNA
About the family: Transfer RNA (tRNA) molecules are approximately 80 nucleotides in length. Their secondary structure includes four short double-helical elements and three loops (D, anti-codon, and T loops). Further hydrogen bonds mediate the characteristic L-shaped molecular structure. tRNAs have two regions of fundamental functional importance: the anti-codon, which is responsible for specific mRNA codon recognition, and the 3' end, to which the tRNAs corresponding amino acid is attached (by aminoacyl-tRNA synthetases). tRNAs cope with the degeneracy of the genetic code in two manners: having more than one tRNA (with a specific anti-codon) for a particular amino acid; and 'wobble' base-pairing, i.e. permitting non-standard base-pairing at the 3rd anti-codon position.
Source: RNAcentral